AAUACAUAAAGUAAUUCCUGCCCAGUGACAAAAUUCAACGGCCGCGGUAUCCUAACCGUGCAAAGGUAGCAUAAUAAUUUGCCUAUUAAUUGUAGGCUAGAAUGAACGGAUGAACGAAAUAAAAACUGUCUCAACUAGUAAACUAAAAAUUAUUCUCUAUAUGAAGAAAAAUAGAUAAAUUCGAAGGACAAGAAGACCCUAUAGAGCUUUAUUUAAAAUAUAAAAUUAAACUAUAUAAAAAAUUCGGUUGGGGCGACCCCGGGAUCACUAAUCACCCACAUAAGUAAAGAUACAUAAAUCAAUUAAUUGACCCUACUAAGAUCAAAAAAUUAAGUUACCUUAGGGAUAACAGGCUAAUCCCAUUCAAGAGUCCAUAUCAACAAUGGGGUUUGGCACCUCGAUGUUGGCUUAGGGUAUCAAUAUAGCGCAAAAGCUAUAUAUAGAUGGUUUGUUCAACCAUAACUC
Molecule: ribosomal RNA, 465 nt
Filed under: Digaster lingi
Lineage: Eukaryota; Metazoa; Annelida; Clitellata; Crassiclitellata; Megascolecidae
Description: partial 16S ribosomal RNA
Rfam family: Bacterial large subunit ribosomal RNA
Source: RNAcentral